Molecule: ribosomal RNA, 460 nt
Filed under: uncultured bacterium
Lineage: Bacteria
Description: partial 16S ribosomal RNA
Rfam family: Bacterial small subunit ribosomal RNA
Source: RNAcentral
CCUACGUGUGGCAGCAGUGAGGAAUAUUGGUCAAUGGGCGAAAGCCUGAACCAGCCAAGUCGCGUGAAGGAUUAAGGCCCUAUGGGUCGUCAACCUCUUUUUUCAGGGAGCAAUUGCGUCCACGUGUGGGCUUAUGGAGAGUACCUGAAGAAAACGCAUCGGCUAACUACGUGCCAGCAGCCGCGGUAAUACGGAGGAUGCUAGCGUUAUCCGGAUUUAUUGGGUUGAAAGGGUGCGUAGGCGGAAUACCAAGUCAGCGGUAAAAUCGCGGGGCUCAACCUCGUCCUGCCGUUGAAACUGGUGUUCUUGAGUGGGCUAGAAGUAUGCGGAAUGCGUGGUGUAGCGGUGAAAUGCAUAGAUAUCACGCAGAACUCCGAUUGCGAAGGCAGCAUACCGGCGCCCAACUGACGCUGAAGCACGAAAGCGUGGGUAUCGAACAGGAUUAGAUACCCCAGUAGUC